UUCUGGUGUCUUUUGCAGGGAAAUCUGAAAGAGGAUACCCCGUUACUCAGCCGCAGCUCUUGCCCGCUGAUAUUAGCGAUGGCCUUUCUCCUCCGGGAAUGAAAGUCUCUUCUCAGUUCUACAAUCUUCACCGCCGGAGGCUCGCCGACUCCAGCAUAGAUCCACUGCCCAAGAAGAUCCGGAAGGUUCCUUCUGGCCUGCCGUCGUCUGUGUCUUCGGUGAGUGUUGAUGUGCCCUCAUUAGUGUCUGAGUCCAGAUUAUCAUGCCACGUGCCGUCAGUCUG
Molecule: long non-coding RNA, 283 nt
Organism: Sinocyclocheilus rhinocerous
Lineage: Eukaryota; Metazoa; Chordata; Actinopteri; Cypriniformes; Cyprinidae
Exons: 3
Source: RefSeq, a predicted model, not a curated record